CAGCAGCCACGGUAAUACAGAGGGUGCGAGCGUUAAUCGGAUUUACUGGGCGUAAAGCGUGCGUAGGCGGCUAAUUGAGUCGGAUGUGAAAUCCCCGAGCUUAACUUGGGAAUUGCAUUCGAUACUGGUUAGCUAGAGUGUGGGAGAGGAUGGUAGAAUUCCAGGUGUAGCGGUGAAAUGCGUAGAGAUCUGGAGGAAUACCGAUGGCGAAGGCAGCCAUCUGGCCUAACACUGACGCUGAGGUACGAAAGCAUGGGGAGCAAACAGGAUUAGAUACCCCUGUAGUCCCUGUCUCUUAUAA
This 301-nucleotide ribosomal RNA is filed under the name uncultured bacterium. RNAcentral describes it as "partial 16S ribosomal RNA". It matches the Rfam family "Bacterial small subunit ribosomal RNA", at positions 509 to 809 of the family's 1533-position model. The record is from RNAcentral.